Molecule: ribosomal RNA, 414 nt
Filed under: uncultured microorganism
Description: bacterial SSU rRNA
Rfam family: Archaeal small subunit ribosomal RNA
Source: RNAcentral
CAGCCGCCGCGGCAAUACCGGCGGCCCGAGUGGCGGUCACUAUUAUUGGGCUUAAAGCGUCCGUAGCCGGGUUGGGAAGUCCUCCGGGAAAUCUGGCCGCUUAACGGUCAGAAUGCCGGAGGAUACUCCCAGCCUAGGGAGCGGGAGAGGCCGAGGGGAUUCCCGGAGUAGGGGUGAAAUCCUAUAAUCCCGGGAGGACCACCUGUGGCGAAGGCGCUCGGCUGGAACGCGUCCGACGGUGAGGGACGAAGGCCAGGGGAGCAAACCGGAUUAGAUACCCGGGUAGUCCUGGCUGUAAACGAUGCGGACUUUGUGUCGGACAAGCUAUGAGCUUGUCCGGUGCCGGAGGGAAACCGUUAAGUCCGCCGCCUGGGGAGUACGGCCGCAAGGCUGAAACUUAAAGGAAUUGGCGGG